UAAUGUCUACUAUAGGAAAAAAUCAAUGUC
Molecule: non-coding RNA, 30 nt
Filed under: Mus musculus (house mouse)
Lineage: Eukaryota; Metazoa; Chordata; Mammalia; Rodentia; Muridae
Source: RNAcentral